GGAGCAGUACUGCAUCUCUGGUGAGUCCAAGUCUGAGAUGAAGCACUGUGACCC
RNAcentral lists this microRNA precursor (54 nucleotides) under Eptatretus burgeri (inshore hagfish). RNAcentral describes it as "Ebu-Mir-143_pre stem-loop". The record is from RNAcentral. Lineage: Eukaryota; Metazoa; Chordata; Myxini; Myxiniformes; Myxinidae.